Molecule: long non-coding RNA, 8290 nt
Organism: Bombus terrestris (buff-tailed bumblebee)
Lineage: Eukaryota; Metazoa; Arthropoda; Insecta; Hymenoptera; Apidae
Exons: 4
Source: RefSeq, a predicted model, not a curated record
GUUAGUUUGCUAGCGAACCACGUGAAAAAAAACGAGCCUUACGUUAAUCGAGGUUCUGCAAACAUGAAAGCGCUUCACGCGACUGGUGUGCACGAUUAUCGAUUCAACCGGCCACGAAUUUUAUUCGGAACAAUGACACGGAAUAAUGAACCCUGCAACAGAACGACUCCACGUGUGUCGGUUUGAAAAAUUGUCGAUAUAUAUGUAUGUCGAAUCGUACAAAUGUUGCCCGAUGUUUCAAUUGGAAUCUACCAGAACUUAGUCGACAGAUGUAUUCCAGGAUAACGAUUAUCGUCGAUAACCGGAUACCGUCGGAGAGGAAAUUCGGAACUAUCUACUUACAUACACGGUGUGGGAAUACUAUGAAGUAGGCUGAGAAAAAGAAGAAAAGAGAAGAGAAAAGCGAGUAUAAAAGAGUCGGAGCGUGAGUUGAAGGGAUAGCGGUAGAUUCGAGGCGACCGCUGCUUCGAAUCGAAUAACGGAGCUACCCUCGGUCUGCUGCCUUCUCGCCGGAAUAAUAAGGACUCCAUUCUCUCGAGAUCGAGAAAAUCGAUCGCACCCUAUCACGUCCAUCGCGCAUUAUUGCCGCCGCCUGUUUCCGACAACUCGUCCACGCCGUUGGUCUACGCCUGAUUGUGGCCACGCUUGACAGACCCAUCCCGCAAAAGAAGCAGACCACACGCCCGCAGGAAUAACGCACUCCCUCGAUAAAAUUACCUUGUCUGGUCGACUGUCGAAAUUGUCUGUUUCUUUUAGCAGAAAGGUUUGAAGAAUUUCAUUUCUUAACUUGACCGAACAAAGAGCCGAGUUAGAAACUUUUCCCGUAACCGAUUGUAAGUUGGCAACAAUUUUGUAAUUUGACGGCAAACUGACAAAUCAGCUUCAUUAUGAAAAAGUGAAAAGGUGGAUAAAAGCGUGCAUGGUACCAUUUUUAUAGCUCUUUUAAGUGGUAUGUAAUAUGUAUCGAACAUCUACUGUGUAACGUGUUUUAAGGAUUCGAUCUUUUCUUUACAGAACAUUCAUUGAAGACAACGAGCAAUUAAAUUCAGGUUCGAAUAUUAUUCAGAGUUAAAUAGUAGCAAAUUAUUAUUGUAAAUUGUUGAAUGCAAUUAUACAAGGAGAAUGUUUGUAUAAAUUGUCAGCAGUUUGCGCUAAUACUGUUCAGUAUCUGUAAACGUUUCGCUCAGAAAGCAAUUACGGAUCUAAUAUCUCUAACUGGAAACUUCGCAAACCCUGAUAGAAUGUAAUAAUUUGAAAAUUUAUUACGUAAUUUAGCAAGAGAUUAGCAGAUAUUACAGCAUCCUUCUCGCCAUUCCAAUUUAAAUCUUGCUCCAGAAAUAAAUAUUCUACCUUGCUUGUUGGUACCACCCUAUCCAACUCGAUAAACGAUUACAUACUUAUUACGAUUUAAUCCUUUAAUAUCUAGGCAUUUAAUAGUUACACACUUGAAUUUCUCCGGCAGACCCAUACCAUAUCAUAUAUACAAGUACGUUUAGUCUAAUCUGAAGAUACCCUCAUAAGAUAUAACAGAGCAUUUUAAUUCUUUUUAUGUACACUUAACAAACAAAAGGUGAUACGGGACUAUGUCCUGUCGUCACGAAUGAAAAUUAAUUUCUAUCGGCUUUCACUGUAGACAGACAUCGUCACAGCAUCCUCUAGCUGGAAUACGUGACCCAAUAUGUCGAGCAGGGCUUAGAACAACCCUCUCCUUUAUUAAGUUAACCCUAUAUGCACGAAAUCCAUCCAUUUAUAUAUCCCGUGGGAACUCCGCUUGUAUCUUUGUAAGUAAUUGUGUCAUUUGAGUAUUCAAAUAAAGUCAAAUUAAUGAUAAUGACGAACAGUUUCGGAGAUUAUGUAGUAACGACACCAAUUACAUGCAACGGAUUUCUCGUUACAAUAAGAACGAGUUUAACUUGAGAUUCAUUGAAAGUCGUUAAAAAGAAACACCAGUCGAAAGCUUCACUAGCAACGCUAAAGCAAACACGAUUAUCAUUUCUUCGCAACUCUAAUUGAAACCUUAAUCAGUCUUUCGCGAUACUAAAAAGCUUAAAAAUACAAAACUUUUUCGCAACUCUAAUUUAACCGUAAUUAAUCUGUUGGUCAGCCCACAUAUACAUCGAAAAAAAAGAAAAAGGAGAUAACUACAGAUACUAAAAGCGAGCAUAGUGACAAAGUAAUAACGAGAAUGAUUUUCCAUGCUCUGGGUGAUCCAGAGGAUGGAAAACCAUUAGUAGUUGCCCUCUUCUAUGGCAAUUUGCCGGGCCUCUUCGGCUCGUAGCCUCUUCUUUCUUCGGGCGCAAUACCCGCUGAAACCAACGAUCAUAGUGAUCGCUGUCCGUUUCGAAACCUACUCGCGACCACGACCACGAAAUUCGAGAAAUUGAUGGACGAGAGCAGAGACGAAUGGUAUGCUUCACUCGCGGUGCCAGCCUCGCCAUCGAUUUUUCAAAUCAAUUUUCCUGAAACAGGUUGGACACGCGAAAACGCGCCUACCCAACCAGAGACUGUGCCAACCUGCCCGACCCUACCUAUUUAUAAUUAACAUUCACACCAGAAAGUAUGCUACCUAUCCUAUCUAGCCCUAUAUUUAAAAAAUGGCAAAACAGGCACACCAACACACUCGCUCCACGGUUCUCACACAUAACCCGGGCGCAAGAGCCUACACUAGAGAAACGUCCCGGGACGCCUCCGACACCCGAGUUUGGCACACAACCUUCACGCUCUAAUUUACAUACCAUUUUCCUGAAAUCGACUGACGUUGGCUACCGACCGUUGCAUACAAAUUUUUUGCAUAUUUUGAUUUUAAUUAGAAUUAAUUUGAAGCAUAUUUGAAUUCCAAUCUUAAUUAAAUAUACAUAAUUGUGCGUGACUAUAUGUAUAUUAUCUAAAGAAAUAAUAUUAUUAAAUAGCUGAUACGCAGUCUGAUAUCAUUGUAAUGCAAAGGCAAGAUUAAUAAUCUGCUGUACAUAUCUAAUAACAAUGUUAUUGUAAAUUGCAAUCAUACUUCUGAAAUUUCUAAUUUGAAAAUUAUAAUAAAUAGCAAAAACGACGCAAUUCCACAGCCUAGCUACGCACACACACACACACACACAUACAUACAUUGUGGAAAAUACGUCGUGCAUGAUAUACUAACGCAACGUCAGUCGCUGAGAAAUUAGGUAUUAGGUUUAUAAUCACCUUGUCUACUACCUGUCUCCUACCUAAGUAGCAUCUGGACACGUGAGUGAGGUUCUAGCAAUAAAUAUGGAAGAGAUUAAACCUGAAAAUCCUAGGCUGAAAUAUGAUCAAUUGCAAUAUUUCGUAUAUUUUGUAUCUAACGGCCUAAUAUUUCUCGACUUUGUAGUUCAAUUUUAUUUCCAAUUUUAACAGCUUUAUAUUCUACUUUAUCUCAUUACUUCGAUGAAUUACUAAACUACUACACAAAAAUGAAAAAAAGUUAAUAAAAAAUAUAUUUCUUAAAGAACAGAUGAAGAUUCGAUACAAAUGGUAUUUAUAUCAAUAAAUAACAGUGAAAUAUCCUCAGGAGAUUCCUUUAUCAGAACACAUCUUUGAAAACAUAAACAUAAAAAAGUGCUUGAAGCUUGUUUUGAUUCUGAAAUCUGCCUGUCGCGAAGUGUCUUCUUGCACGUGGAAAUUUAAUACAUUCUUGGACGGACAAGAUUACAAUUUGGAAUCUUUUGUCUUUAAUAUAUUUCACAUGUCAAAUUUCACUAAAUAUGGAAAUCAAAUAAUAAAAUUGUUCCACAUUAUAAUGAAACAGAAGAUAAAAUUAAAUAUUAUUCAUGGAAACUCAUUAACACUAUAAUAAUUUUAGUCAUAUGUAAUUGAAAUCUCUCAUAAUAACGAAGCCUGAGGGUAUUCGACUUUUCCACUACGAUAUAACUAAAUGAAGUUGUUUCGUUAUUUAUUACAAUAUUCAUGUUUUAUUUAUUAAUAAAUAUUCAAUGUCCGGGCAUUUAAUCCUUCUAUAUAAUCAUAUAAACUUUGAUUUUAUAAAUAAUUCUAUAUUAUACGAUUUUGAAACAUAGAUACAUAUAUUAAUUAUCAAAACAUUGCAUUAUUCAUGUCAAUCCUUUAUAUUGCAAUACAAAAACACGAUGUGCAAGAAAACCUAUCCUGAACUAAUAAAUAAAACACAGAUAAGAAACGUUACUACUCACGAAUAUAUAUUAAAUAUUCGCGGUCACUAUGCUCGACAAAAAUUCUACGUAAUACAACCAGUCAUCCGUGCCGAUUCGGACCUUUCAUCCUACGACAUGAUUGAGUGACCAGAGGAACAAAAAUGCCUGCGACUCACCAUUAGAUACGAAGAACGCUGCUCGAUGUCGAUGACCCAAGAGUAGCUAUUGGGAAGCCCAUCAAAUAAGAUCCACAAAAUUCCCCUGAAAAAGGGAAAACUCGAAGAAAUCUGUAACAAAACGUGGAAUACUGUAAUUUGUUCUUAAAAAUAAUAUUGAUUAUUUGAAAGUUUUAAAACAAUUUGAAGUGUUUGAAUUUUCAACAGAUUUUAUUUUUUAAUUAAUACGAAUGAAAGAAAGAAAAACGUGAAAUGAUAAUAUUAUCACAGACAAUUGACGAUAACGAAACAAAAUGCAGAAGUUAUUUCAAUUCUUCAACAAAGUCUAGAGAAUGUAAGUUGAAUUAAUGUUAAAAAAUUCGUUUAAUUUCAUUGAAAUGAAAAAGUAAUUUAACAUAUUCGAAUUAAAAAUAGUGAUUCGUUUAAUCUCACAUAUUUUCACCUUAGUCUUCGUAAUAAACCGUAAAAUUAUACAAAAUAUCAUAUUACGUACAUAUUAAUUAUAUUAGUAUCGUGAAUUAUUUGUAAGGAAUGUAGUUGCAUCAAUUGAAUACUAAAUAAACAUGACAACUAUCUUAUAAAAAGAUGAAGCAACGUAAAGAUACGUUUGCCCUAAUGAGAAUAAAUCAAAUGUUACCAUAUUUCUGCGAGAAGUUAGCGGAUCGAAUAUUGCAUAGAACGAAUAUCGUUAAACAUCAUGGCGUCCUCCUAAUGCUACGAUGUUACUCUCGCAAUCAACUAACCUGUACGAAAACGAACCAACACUAUCAAAUAAAUGUAUAAAGGGAACAGAUUAUAUAAAAACGAAUAAAUGAUGAAGAUCAAGUGCCAUUUUGAAAGUUUAUGAUACGAACUACUAAUAAAUGUAACGAUCAGAGAAACGAUCAAAGAAAGAAAGAUACCUUAGUUAUAAAUUAUGAUAUCUUAUAAAUUAUUAAUAAUUAAUAAUUAUUACGUUAAUUAAACAAAGUUAAUCGUAGCCUGGGUAUAAACGCUGAAAGGAUGACGACAAAGGUAUUACGCAGUUAACAAACGCCAUGUUCGGGUGAUACAUCUUAUAAUGCCUCGAUUUUCGACAAUAGAAUAACCCCCCGCGCAACAGGUUCGCGUCGCAAGCUACGUAAUUCGGUGGAGUGAGGCUACCAACACACACGAAUAGAAUUCGGUUGAUAUCCUACAGAAACAAAUUUUUUUUACUAGAUACGUCGCUACUAGAUACAUUGAUGUUUACAGUAAAUUUCUUGUAGUUUCUAUACGUGUUUAUCUUCAGAUUGGUCUCAAAUUUGACAACACAAUCACAAUAGCCAUAUCUUAUUAGAAUAUUAAUACAAAAUGUUUUAUACGAUACAAAUGGUCAUUUCUCGUUACAAUGCUAAUGCGAAAUAUUUUAUAUUAUACACGUAAACAUGCCUCAUUACAAUGCUAAUACAAAAUGUUUUACAUUAUACAUAUAACAUAUAUAAAAGUUUCCUAUAGUAAAUAUUGAAAUACUUUUGUGAAUUACUGUAUGUAGAAAUACAAUAAGUACAUAUAUAUGUAUAUUCACUCUUAAUCACCUUCAGUAAUCGGAUUAGUUGGAUAUGUAUAUGUAAUAACUCUUCUAAAUAUUACUCAUUAUUCUAAAUCGCAGAUGAAUUCGACAAUACAAAAAUAAAUCUAAAAACUAUAUAUUUACCUGACAACUUCUAAAUGAACCGUUCUCGAAUCUUUUUGCUGUGCUUCUCGUCCAAGACUAACACUUCUACAGUUCUGUUGCCCACCAAUAUGAUAUAUCGAUCGCGAGAAAUUUAUAUCGAUUGCGAUUGAACAUUGCGAUACAUAAUUGCAUAUUUUGCCGUUUCAUUGGCGCUGUUAUCUCUACCAAAUAUAAGAACAUUGCGCGCGCAUUUCGUACAGAGAUACAUUGUCUAACUUGGAACAAAAAAUAAAAAACUCCAUUCUUUUAUCCUCCUCGCCUAUUAAAUAAUACAAUUGACUUAGAAAAAUAUCUGUAAUUUUAUUUUUUAAAAUUUGAUUUAAAUCAAAUAAAUGUAUUCUAAUUUUAAGUGUCAAUUUUAAGUUAUAUUAACUUAAUGAAUUUAAUUUGGUAGUUCGUUAUGCCGUAAUAUCCCUUCACAUCUAAAUGAUUUUACCCCCCCCCCCAAAUAAUUUCUAUUAUAUAUAUAAAAAAUAGUUCUUCUAUUAUACAUCUUGUUCGAAAACACAUGUUCUGUAAUACCGACUAUUGAGAAAUUUUAUUACGCCAUCUACAGUUUAUAACAUGGUACGCCAUUUAUUUAAACAAAGUUUUAGUUGAAGCUCGAUUAAAUAAACUUCUGGUAAUUCGAUUUAUGUAUUUGAAUACGAAUUACUGUUAUAUGAAUGAAAAACCUUAGGUAGAAAAACCUUAGAAGACAAAACAGAGUUACGUGUGUGAAAAUAUAUUAAACUUACAUAUUUAAUAAUUAAUCGUUGUUAACGACUCGGAAUUAAAAAAUUGAAACGGAGUGAUUCGACGAAAGAUAUAUUAAACAAUAAACACAUCUUUUCACCCGGGAGAUCAUAUGCAUAGAAAGAUGUUUCAAUAUUUCAAUGAAUGUGCAUCUCUCACUGUCUCGCAGGGAAAUACGAAUACUUUGCUCCAUAACGUAGAUUGUAUAUAUUUUAAUAAAGUUUUUAUGCAAUAUUAAAAUCAUUCAAAUGCAUUUCUGUAACAGAAUUGUUGGAUUCACGAUUUCCGCAGGAUUAGAUAAAUAAAUGUAUCCAUUCUGAAGGAGAUGGAAGCAUAAGAGGAUAGCAAGAGGCGUGAGAUUAUAUAAGUGGAACAAGCUAACUCCGUCCACUUUGUCGACAUAUUUCUUUUGCGAGGAAAGCUUAUUUCACGUAGUCUACUCGUAAUCCAUCCGUUUACUUUAGUAAGGACUGUAUCGAUCUGCGCUGCGCGUUGCAGCGCGCAUUCGUAUACGGAAUGAAUAUGCGUCAUUUGUGCGUGAAUACAUAGGGAGUAGGUUGGUUGCGAUGAAUUUCUGAUUCAGAUCGUUUUCAUGGGCCAGUCGUUUAAUAAAAUAUUAAUAUUGUAUUAUCAGUUGCAAUGCAAAAUCCAAAACCUUCUACAAUAUGGAGUGGAUACACAUAAUCUUCAUAAAAUGAUUCAACCUCUUAGACAAAAUAUUUUUCCAAGUGAUACGUAAAGGAUAGAAACGGUGGCAAACUCUGUCAGCUAAUUACUUUAACGAGUUUCAAGUGGCAUUUGAUCAUCGCAAGAGUCGGCGACGCGAAAAUAUAGUCGGCGAUGCGAUAUAGAGGACCAGAACUAGAAGGUGUUACACAUCCUACACAUCGCUGCAGAAGCAAGAGGAUUGUACGUUCCCGUAUUUUUGGAAGCGGAAUAAUGCGUUUGUAUUCCUGAAUAAGUUUCAUGAAAUUUUAUCGCUGCUAGAAUUUGAAUCUUCCUUUUUGAACGACGUCUGGAUGAAAGAAAGUUUGAGAUAUCUUGGGUAAAUUUGGUUAAUUUAAUUACAGAAGUUACUUCCUCUGUUUGCGUUAUGAAAAAUUUACUCAGAGCUUUAAUUUAAAGAAGAAAUAUUUGAAAGCAAUGCAUAUUUUAUUUUAAUUGCCCUAUCUAUGAAAAAAGGAAGAAUUAGGUACAUUGUUAUGAUUUGCAUUCGUGAAACUUCGAACUGACAAGAAAUUGUAGUUCCUACGCAACGUUGAUAAAAAUUAUUGAAACAUAUGAAUCGUAUAUACAUAUUCCCAUAUAAAUUUUCGUAACAUGAUUACAGCCGUAUUGAAUGUUAAUUUUUUAUGAGUUCUCGGAUAUUUAGUUAAAUCAAGUUAACGUUUGAUUUGCUUUUUAAUGUAUUUUCCGUUUAAUAUUCUUCAACGUGACAACAAUAAGAACAAAAUUGUAGUCUAUAUAAUAAUAAUAAAUACAUUGUGCGUGUAACAAUAACAAUAACAAUAUGAAUUCAAUAACAACGAUAUUGAGAUAAAUAAAAGAUAUCGUGUAAUUUA